AGCGAACGCUGGCGGCAGGCCUAACACAUGCAAGUCGAACGAACCUUUCGGGGUUAGUGGCGGACGGGUGAGUAACACGUGGGAACGUGCCUUUAGGUUCGGAAUAACUCAGGGAAACUUGUGCUAAUACCGAAUGUGCCCUUCGGGGGAAAGAUUUAUCGCCUUUAGAGCGGCCCGCGUCUGAUUAGCUAGUUGGUUGAGGUAAUGGCUCACCAAGGCGACGAUCAGUAGCUGGUCUGAGAGGAUGAUCAGCCACAUUGGGACUGAGACACGGCCCAAACUCCUACGGGAGGCAGCAGUGGGGAAUCUUGCGCAAUGGGCGUAAGCCUGACGCAGCCAUGCCGCGUGAAUGAUGAAGGUCUUAGGAUUGUAAAAUUCUUUCACCGGGGACGAUAAUGACGGUACCCGGAGAAGAAGCCCCGGCUAACUUCGUG
This 434-nucleotide ribosomal RNA is filed under the name uncultured bacterium. RNAcentral describes it as "partial 16S ribosomal RNA". It matches the Rfam family "Bacterial small subunit ribosomal RNA", at positions 29 to 507 of the family's 1533-position model. The record is from RNAcentral.